This 440-nucleotide ribosomal RNA is filed under the name uncultured bacterium. RNAcentral describes it as "partial 16S ribosomal RNA". It matches the Rfam family "Bacterial small subunit ribosomal RNA", at positions 338 to 795 of the family's 1533-position model. The record is from RNAcentral.
CCUACGGGCGGUAGCAGUGGGGAAUAUUGCACAAUGGGGGAAACCCUGAUGCAGCGACGUCGCGUGAGUGAAGAAGUAUCUCGGUAUGUAAAGCCCUAUCAGCAGGGAAGAAAAUGACGGUACCUGAUUAAGAAGCCCCGGCUAACUACGUGCCAGCAGCCGCGGUAAUACGUAGGGGGCAAGCGUUAUCCGGAUUUACUGGGUGUAAAGGGAGCGUAGACGGCAGCACAAGUCUGGAGUGAAAUGCCGGGGCUUAACCCCGGAACUGCUUUGGAAACUGGGCAGCUAGAGUGCAGGAGAGGUAAGUGGAAUGCGUGGUGUAGCGGUGAAAUGCGUAGAUAUUAGGAAGAACACCAGUGGCGAAGGCAGCUUACUGGACUGUAACUGACGUUGAGGCUCGAAAGCGUGGGGAGCGAACAGGAUUAGAUACCCCUGUAGUC